This is a long non-coding RNA of Bubalus bubalis (water buffalo), 635 nucleotides long. RefSeq lists it as uncharacterized. The transcript has 4 exons. The record is from RefSeq and is a predicted model, not a curated record. Lineage: Eukaryota; Metazoa; Chordata; Mammalia; Artiodactyla; Bovidae.
UUCCCAAAGCUCAGGAAGGUGCUCAGUUGGGGAGGGGCUUGGACUCCACCCCUCAGAACCAGCAUUUCAGCCAACUAUUUACAUUAUAUUCUGUGAGAGAAACACAUACUUUCUCCUUGUUUUCACACAAUGGUUUGACACAGGUUGUUUUUUUUUUUUUUGAUGAACAAUUCUAACGCCAUGCAAUUUCCCCCCUUUUCUGCAGAGCCCUUCUCAUUAAAUUUUUGAGUUUUCUGUAUGGAGGGGCUUUGGAAGCGGAGGACAUGCAUUCCAUUCCCAGCUUCUCUGCUCUCAGUUCUCAGCUCAAGGUAUAUCUUCUGGAGAUUUCCCACGUCCUCCCUCUCCUCCAGGAAAAGAUGUCAGUAUGCAACUCUGUUUUAAUUCUCCUGAGUCUGCUGGGAGGCUUAUUUGUUUCAUGGUCCACACCACUGGGACUAUCGGAAGAGAGAAACAUAAAAAAGAGAGCGAGGCAGCUGAUCUCAUAGAGAGCUACCACUCCUAUCCAGUUUGAAGAGGCUCUAUAUCAUGAUCUCUCGAACUAAUUAAGGUUCGUGGGCAGGCCACAGGUUGCUACAGAGGAACUUUCCUGAAGGCUGAUAUUUAUGAGGAUUUUUUUUUUUUUUGCUGCUGUAGCU